RNAcentral lists this ribosomal RNA (301 nucleotides) under uncultured Megasphaera sp. Its description in RNAcentral is "bacterial SSU rRNA". It matches the Rfam family "Bacterial small subunit ribosomal RNA", at positions 234 to 524 of the family's 1533-position model. The record is from RNAcentral. Lineage: Bacteria; Bacillati; Bacillota; Negativicutes; Veillonellales; Veillonellaceae.
CGUCUGAUUAGCUAGUUGGAGGGGUAACGGCCCAACAAGGCGACGAUCAGUAGCCCGGUCUGAGAGGAUGAACGGCCACAUUGGGGACUGAGACACGGCCCAGACUCCUACGGGAGGCAGCAGUGGGGAAUCUUCCGCAAUGGACGAAAGUCUGACGGAGCAACGCCGCGUGAGUGAAGACGGUCUUCGGAUUGUAAAGCUCUGUUAUACGGGACGAACGGCAAGGUGGUAAAUAGCCAUCAUGAGUGACGGUACCGUAAGAGAAAGCCACGGCUAACUACGUGCCAGCAGCCGCGGUAAU